GACGAACGCUGGCGGCGUGCUUAACACAUGCAAGUCGAACGAUGACGACCGACCUUGCUCGGUCUGAUUAGUGGCGAACGGGUGAGUAACACGUGAGCAACCUGCCCUUCACUCUGGGAUAACCUCGGGAAAUCGGGGCUAAUACCGGAUAUGAGCUCCUGUCGCAUGGCGGGGGUUGGAAAGUUUUUCGGUGAAGGAUGGGCUCGCGGCCUAUCAGUUUGUUGGUGGGGUAGUGGCUCACCAAGGCGAUGACGGGUAGCCGGCCUGAGAGGGCGACCGGCCACACUGGGACUGAGACACGGCCCAGACUCCUACGGGAGGCAGCAGUGGGGAAUAUUGCACAAUGGGCGAAAGCCUGAUGCAGCGACGCCGCGUGAGGGAUGACGGCCUUCGGGUUGUAAACCUCUUUCAGCAGGGAAGAAGCGAAAGUGACGGUACCUGCAGAAGAAGCGCCGGCUAACUACGUG
Molecule: ribosomal RNA, 467 nt
Filed under: uncultured bacterium
Lineage: Bacteria
Description: partial 16S ribosomal RNA
Rfam family: Bacterial small subunit ribosomal RNA
Source: RNAcentral